GGGGUAACGGCCCACCAAGGCGACGAUGGGUAGGGGUUCUGAGAGGAAGGUCCCCCACAUUGGAACUGAGACACGGUCCAAACUCCUACGGGAGGCAGCAGUGAGGAAUAUUGGUCAAUGGGCGGGAGCCUGAACCAGCCAAGUAGCGUGAAGGAUGACGGCCCUACGGGUUGUAAACUUCUUUUAUAAGGGAAUAAAGUUCGCCACGUGUGGUGUUUUGUAUGUACCUUAUGAAUAAGCAUCGGCUAAUUCCGUGCCAGCAGCCGCGGUAAUACGGAAGAUGCGAGCGUUAUCCGGAUUUAUUGGGUUUAAAGGGAGCGUAGGCGGGCUUUUAAGUCAGCGGUCAAAUGCCACGGCUCAACCGUGGCCAGCCGUUGAAACUGCAAGCCUUGAGUCUGCACAGGGCACAUGGAAUUCGUGGUGUAGCGGUGAAAUGCUUAGAUAUCACGAAGAACUCCGAUCGCGAAGGCAUUGUGCCGGGGCAGCACUGACGCUGAGGCUCGAAAGUGCGGGUAUCAAACAGGAUUAGAUACCCUGGUAGUCCGCACGGUAAACGAUGAAUGCUCGCUAUGGGCGAUACAAUGUCCGUGGCCAAGCGAAAGCGUUAAGCAUUCCACCUGGGGAGUACGCCGGCAACGGUGAAACUCAAAGGAAUUGACGG
This 661-nucleotide ribosomal RNA is filed under the name uncultured bacterium. Its description in RNAcentral is "bacterial SSU rRNA". It matches the Rfam family "Bacterial small subunit ribosomal RNA", at positions 254 to 916 of the family's 1533-position model. The record is from RNAcentral.